GCUUGCUUCGGCAACACAUGUACUAAAAUUGGAACGAUACAGAGAAGAUUAGCAUGGCCCUUGUGCAAGGAUAAAUAAAAAUAAUACAAAUAAAUAAAUAAAUAU
This is a small nuclear RNA of Sorex araneus (European shrew), 105 nucleotides long. The record is from RefSeq and is a predicted model, not a curated record. NCBI's taxonomy places the organism in Eukaryota, Metazoa, Chordata, Mammalia, Eulipotyphla, Soricidae.